UGAAAAAGGUAAUGCAUGCAUGAACUUUCUGAUACUAGUAGAAAACAUCAUGUGGGAUUUCCUAUUCUGCAUCACAAGAUUUCAACUUGUUUGCAUUAAAAGCAUGACCAAAAUUGUAUUCUUUGAAAACCUAGAAAUUCUUAUUAAUUUUGGGAUAAAUAUUCCCAUGUGGACUAAUAAAUAGGUAAAAAUGUGCUUCAUUUCCAUCAUAUUGAAUCAGAAUUUUAUUUUUCUGGCUCCACAUGUAUUUUAAGAUAUUUUUAGUCAAUCUGGUAAUUUAG
RNAcentral lists this unclassified non-coding RNA (281 nucleotides) under Hevea brasiliensis (rubber tree). Lineage: Eukaryota; Viridiplantae; Streptophyta; Magnoliopsida; Malpighiales; Euphorbiaceae. The record is from RNAcentral.